Molecule: long non-coding RNA, 5184 nt
Organism: Oncorhynchus gorbuscha (pink salmon)
Lineage: Eukaryota; Metazoa; Chordata; Actinopteri; Salmoniformes; Salmonidae
Exons: 4
Source: RefSeq, a predicted model, not a curated record
AAAGUUGGGUAUGCGAUGUGUCUUCGACAUCAACAUACAUGAUGGCUUUGUAUUAUAAGGUUAGCUAGACAUAAUAGAUUCAUACCAUGCGCUUGCACAGGAGUUGAACAGGCUUCCUGUUUAGAUUAAGCCACUGCAGAGUCGGCGCGAGAUAUGGCUCGGAAAAAGUACCACAGUCCAGAGGUUGGUCACUGCUGACAACACCACUAUGGGAAGGAUCUUCCUGGACCACAUCGGUGGAACAUGCCUGUUCUCCUGCACCACUUGUGACACCAUCCUGACCAACCGCUCAGAGCUCAUCUCCACAAGCUUCACCGGCACAAUGGGCCGAGCCUUCCACUUCACCAUGAUGAGCCCGGUGAUAGUCUACUACUCCUACUACAGUAGAGAAUCAUGAAGUUGGAUGCAAGUCCCAUCCCCCAAGAACUCCUAUUCAUAGAUUAAUUUAGCAAAGACUCGGAGAGGUAGGAACAUCAUUGGUCAGCGUGGGGGAAAUGAUACCAUAUGCUCAGUUAUGAGCCACAAUGGAGUCCUCCACUGCCAUCCUUUGGAUCAUAACACUGCCCAUCUCAUUUCCUGAGCAGCAAAUGUUCUAAUUUGAGACAAUGAGUUUCCAAUCAGGCUUGCAACGGUUUACAAUUCAACCCAAUUGUGUUUUCAGCAUGGUGGUGGUAUGAUCGCAAACCCCAUGAACAUAUGGCCCUUCUCUAGGCAAUGGAAGCCACCUGUGGUGACAUUCCAGUUGAAUCCUUGCCAGAAGAUAUUCUCUCUUCUCCCCCCUGGACCAAGGAGAAUACCGGCUGUGAUGUUGAUUAUCUGUGGCCGGACCAAAACAGAAAUUAAAUUGUUUUCAAAAUGGAGUGUGUGUGUGACUUUUGACAGGUUCUUUAUCUAUUCCAUACAUUAGUGCAAAUAGGCUUAUUUUUCUUCCUUUACGUAUGAAUUUCUUUUACAGUAUGCUGUUGAAAUACAACUUGCACUUGUUAUGUACAGAGUAACAAUCUUAGUCUUUACACUGAAAGUGACAGAUCACUGACAUUCAGAUCCUACGUUAAAUUAAUUUGAUGUGCAUCUCAUUCUGAACAGGGAGCACAUUUUAAUUGCUGUGUUUCAUUAAGCAAGAUGGGGUUUGGGCACUGUUUCAGCACCUGAGAUGUAUUGGGAAACGAAUGCCCAUGAUCUUGGAAUGAGAUGUUCAACUUCACCUUUUGAGCAGAGAAGUGGGGCAAUAGAGGACAUUAACAGGGAAAGGUUUUGGGCAAUCCUCAAAACAAGGGCUAGAUUAACACAAAUCGGAAGGGUACGGGCACAGACGUAUGAUAUUUGACUGACAAAGUAACAAUACAUGUCUACUUUUCACACAAGUUGUAUGUAAAGUGUCAAUUUUAGCUCCCCCCCCCAUUACAGAUAUUGACAAUAAGGUUUGCACUUCGUUGUUUGAUGGACUCGUUAAAGAUCACACAGACGACCCGCUCCUCUAAUCCAGUUUAAUCAUCCUCAGCAAAAAGGCCAAAUACAAUAAGAGAAAACAAAGUUAUUUUUUAUACAUUUAACUAAAUAUGCAGUGCUAUGCUAGUGUGUAAGUAAAUCAAAACCAUAUGGUUAAAUACAAUUUCUUUUAAGAUACAGAAAGAUAUUAAUUUCUUCCAUUAGCACUCGCGAGAACAGGUCGCAAAAUAUCAAAAUAAAACCAGCCACAACAGUACGCUCCUUUUUUGUUGUUGACCACUACAUAUCACUCCCUCUGUCCUUCAAAUAAUCCCUCGCACCAGAAGGGGACCAGUGAGAGUCGAAGGAAGCAGAGGAGAGGGGGAUGGAGUGAAGAAUGAGAUGAGCAUUGGGACCAGCACAGUCAAGUAGUGUGACUAGGGUAGGAGGAGAAAAUAUGGAACAGACUAGCAGUAUACUACUUAGAAUGAACCAACGUAUCAGGCAUGCAUUCUAAGUGGUAUUCUAUUAUGGCCAUAUGAACAGAGCCAUGGUUCAAGGAGUCAGGGAUUUUGUAUGUACAGAAGAGGGAGUAGAGUGCAUUACAAAACAGGAGCAGGAACAGCAUCACUCAUUCAAAGGGCAGCAGGCAGAGAAGAGCUUCUGCUUGUCUCCAGUCCAUUUGUUCAGACUGAUCCAACAGAGGAGCGGAGGAGGAGGUUGGCUGCAGUACAAAGGUUAGUGGUCUGGUUUGGAUUCAAACCACUCUGGCAGAGACUCAUAGGAACAAACACGGCCACACAACAACUGACCCAGGACCUGGGGAAAAAUGUCCUCACUCAACACACAAGCCAAUUCAAUCCAAUGCCAUGCAGAGCCAUUGGGCAAGGAAAAGAGAAAAUAAGGUGGGGGAGUUAAAGGUCGAUAUCCCACCCUCCUACAACCUGAGGACUGGUCUAGGGACAGACAGGUCUAUGUUCCGUUCCUUAGUGACCAUUGACAUAGUUGUCUUUGUCAGCAGGUUUUCACUAAGGAGCCGGUAAGGAGAGAGAGGUCAGUUUCAUAUAGGAAGUACUGUUGCAGACAGUCUUCUUUUGUGAUCGGUGAAGCAGAGGGGAAAGAAAAAAGUGUGUGUUGCGCUAUGGCGGCGCUGCUGUGUACUAAAAUAAAUAAUCUGACCGUUCUUUCUUUACAGGGUCCUUGUUGAAUCUGAAGACUGGGCGAGUUAAGGCUGUGAAAAUGAACAUGCGAUAGUGACAGUGUGGCUCCAGAGGUUGCCGUGGUGACAGUGUCCAAGUCAGAGUCCAAACUGUCAAAACUAACAGGAGUGGAUCAACAAUACUCAGAUCCAGAAUGGUGGGGCAAAUUGUGAGUCUAUUUCAACCAUGCUCGCUCUCCCUUCUACCCCCGCUCACUUUCCCUUCUCCCCACUCCCUCCCUCGCUCCUUUCACCCUCUCUUGAAGUGCCUAGUGUGGAGACGGGCGGUCAAUGGGAGCAACUCAGGAGCACUCUUCUCCAAUGCGCUGGCACGAGCGGCCCACCUUGCGGUCCAGCUUCACCAUCUUGAGGACGGCCUCCUCGCGCCCACGUCCCAGGUGGUCGAACAGGCAGUCGUGCUGCUCAGUACUUACCGCAGCGACAGGAGCCCAGUUCCUGCUGUACCAGCUCCAGUUUGGUUUGGCAGCGAUAGCAGCGCCGGCGGUUUUUCUGCUUGGGUCCUGGGCUAGGCUCCUCGCUAACCGCCUCCCCCUCCUCAGUGUCACCCCGUGCCCGUUUCUCCGGUGACGCCUCGCUCUCCAGCCCUGAAGCUGAAAGAACAGAAGGUUACACGGUGUCAGAGUCCAACGUACAGUUUUGCACAAACACAGGGCGCAGGAGCAAGGCUGUACCUGAUUCGCAAGGACGUUUUUUGGGCGUACAGAGGGUACCUUGGGCUGUUUCUGUGCAUGAUAAUAGUUCUGUGGAGAGAGAAAGAAAAAAAAAAAAGAAAAAAAAAGUGUAAGACAGGAAACAUUCCUCAUUGAUCAAGAGCCCAGAUGUGUGUCACCUAGACCAAGAAGCAGGGAAUUAGAUACAGCUUUGGAGACAAAACAAUCUUGAAUUUAAGACCUUGUGGCAAUGUUAUGUAAUAAGAAGCUCAAGUAACUUCAAAAUCCAUAUAAAAAUCCUGACAUGCCAAGUCUGUUUAUCAACAUACCCUUACAUUAACAUGAAGGUAACAACAAAAACACAAGAUACUGCAGUUGGUUUAAAACUGGGAACCUUAAAUGAAAUCCUGGGAGAAGCAAGCAGAUCUUAAGAUAGUUGCACUGACAAUGUUGCCCCACUAUGCGCCCUAUCUAGGCCAGGCUGAGUGCAUUCAUUGCCAGCAGAGUAAGACACACACAGAACCACUCCUCCAGAGGCGAAAUAGAAGCAAGCCGUCAGUCCAACCUUACAGACCUCUGCCAACACAGAUCAUGAAAUACAUACAGUAUAUACACUGAGUGUACAAAACAUUAAGAACACAGGCGCUUUCCAUGAUAGACACCGGGUGAAAGCUAUGAUCCCUUAUUGAAGUCACAUGUUAAGUCUACGUCAAGCAAUGUAGAUGAAGGAGAGGAGACCGGUUAAAGAAAGAUUUUUAAGCAGAGACAUGGAUUGUUUUGUGCCAUUCAGAGGGUGAACGGACAAGACAAAAUGUUUAAGUGCCUUUGGACUGGGUAUGGUAGGUGCACUGGUUUGUGUCAAGAACUGCAAAGCUGCUGGGUGGAGGUUUCCACCCUUAACAGUUUCCAGUGUGUAUCAAGAAUGGUCCACCACCUAAAGGACAUCCAGCCAACUUAAACUGUGGGAAGCAUUGGAGUCAACAUGGCCAGCAUCCCAGUGGAACUCUUUAGACACCUUGUAGUCCACGCCCAACAAAUUGAAGUUGUUCUGAGGGCAAACUAAAUAUUAGGAGGGUGUUCCUAAUGUUUUGUACACUAAGUGUACAUUGAAAGCAAGUGGUUCCACACAUGUGUGGUUACUGAGUUAAUUUUGGGAUGCUAAUUUCUUAAUUGUAUUUAUUUUACCAGAUAAAUUGACAGAACACAUUUUCAUUUACAGCAAUAACCUGGGGAAUAGCUACCGGGAGAGGGGGCGAAGGAGUCAAUUGGAAGCUGGGGAAGAUUAGGUGGCCAUGAUGGUAUGAGGGCUAAAUUGGGAAUUUAGCCAGGACACCCGGGUUAACACUCUUGCGAUGGGAUUAAUUUUAUUUAACUAGGCAAGUCAGUUAAGAACAAAUUCUUAUUUACAAUGACAGCCUACCCCAGCCAAACCCUAACACUAAGCCAAUUGUGCGCUGCCCUAUGGGACUGCCAAUCACAGCCAGCUGCGAUAAAGCCUGGAAUCGAACCAGGGUCUGUAGUGAAUGCCUCCAGUGCCUUAGACCGCUGCACCACUCAGGAGUAUACCACCUGUCACUGGCUUCAUCAAUAAAGUGCAUCGACGACGUCGUCCCCACAGUGACCGUACUAGAGGUCGAGCGACUGAAUUUAACGCCGAUAACGAUUGGAGGACCAGAAAUACAGAUUUUAAAAAUGGUGGAUUUUUAUUUAAUUGUAAUAAUGACAAUUACAACAAUACUGAAUUAAAAUAACUUAACUUAAAAUAAUACAUCAAAUGGAACAUGUUCAAUUUGGUUUAAAUAAUGCAAAAACAAAGUGUUGGAGAAGAAAGUAAAAGUGCAAUAUGUGGCAUGUUUGUAAGUCGCUCUGGAUAAGAGCGUCUGCUAA